UACGUAGGGUGCAAGCGUUAAUCGGAAUUACUGGGCGUAAAGCGUGCGCAGGCGGCUUUGCAAGACAGAUGUGAAAUCCCCGGGCUCAACCUGGGAACUGCAUUUGUGACUGCAUGGCUAGAGUACGGUAGAGGGGGAUGGAAUUCCGCGUGUAGCAGUGAAAUGCGUAGAUAUGCGGAGGAACACCGAUGGCGAAGGCAAUCCCCUGGGCCUGCACUGACGCUCAUGCACGAAAGCGUGGGGAGCAAACAGG
This 253-nucleotide ribosomal RNA is filed under the name uncultured bacterium. RNAcentral's name for it is "partial 16S ribosomal RNA". It matches the Rfam family "Bacterial small subunit ribosomal RNA", at positions 524 to 776 of the family's 1533-position model. The record is from RNAcentral.